CGUUAUGGUGUACGGAAUAUAACGUUAUUCCUUCUCAGAGAAAUGGAGAAAAAAAAUAUGUGUCGGGAUCUGAAUGAGUAUAUUUUAUUUUCAUUUCCCCUGUCGACUGUCGUAAAGUUCCUAGUAAUGCAAUAUAAAAUUCUACUGAAUCAGAUAUAAUUUUAUUUCGUCCUGCACAUGGAAUUUCACUCAUAUGAAUUAAUAUUAAUAUCGUCUGAUUUUCACAUCAAACGAGCAUAUACUUGAAACUUGCGUGAACAGGUUCCAUGUGAAUCUUAUGAUAAUAGUUCAUGCAUAAAUCACCGGAAUUUUGUACACGUUAAAUUCACGUAAAUAUUUGAAAUAAAAUUAUUUAAAUAAUAUCUUUGUUCUAAAAUUUGAUUAAAACCAUAAAAAAUACCUUCAGAUUUUUGUUAAGUUUACGUGAAAAUUAAAUGAAACAUUUCACGUGAGAUUCAUCCGAAUUACUGAUUUUUAACUCCAUCAUAUUAGACAAUGGUGGUAUCAUCACUGCAUCCCGUGAUGCAGAAAUAUAGUAUUUUAAAAAAUUUGAUUCAUUUAACAGUUUUUUAAUUGCUCGGUUUGAUGGUUGUUUAACGUUCAGUGGCAAAUAGUUCAUGCAUGUUCGGGACGAUACAAUACAAUUUUGAAAACAGUUGUUUAUAAAAGACACAUUUGAUGCACCAGUCAAAAAAGAUUAAACAUUCUGUUAUUUGUGAAAAUUAUGAGGAAAAA
RNAcentral lists this long non-coding RNA (735 nucleotides) under Mytilus galloprovincialis (Mediterranean mussel). Lineage: Eukaryota; Metazoa; Mollusca; Bivalvia; Mytilida; Mytilidae. The record is from RNAcentral.